GGGUCGUUAGCUCAGUUGGUAGAGCAGCGGACUUUUAAUCCGUUGGUCACAGGUUCGAAUCCUGUACGGCCUACCA
Molecule: transfer RNA, 76 nt
Filed under: Burkholderiaceae bacterium
Lineage: Bacteria; Pseudomonadati; Pseudomonadota; Betaproteobacteria; Burkholderiales; Burkholderiaceae
Description: tRNA-Lys
Rfam family: tRNA
About the family: Transfer RNA (tRNA) molecules are approximately 80 nucleotides in length. Their secondary structure includes four short double-helical elements and three loops (D, anti-codon, and T loops).
Source: RNAcentral